RNAcentral lists this ribosomal RNA (253 nucleotides) under uncultured bacterium. Its description in RNAcentral is "partial 16S ribosomal RNA". It matches the Rfam family "Bacterial small subunit ribosomal RNA", at positions 524 to 776 of the family's 1533-position model. The record is from RNAcentral.
UACGUAUGUCGCAAGCGUUAUCCGGAAUUAUUGGGCAUAAAGGGCAUCUAGGCGGCCAGGCAAGUCUGGGGUGAAAACCUGCGGCUCAACCGCAGGCCUGCCCUGGAAACUGCGUGGCUAGAGUGCUGGAGAGGUGGACGGAACUGCACGAGUAGAGGUGAAAUUCGUAGAUAUGUGCAGGAAUGCCGAUGAUGAAGAUAGUUCACUGGACGGCAACUGACGCUGAAGUGCGAAAGCCGGGGGAGCGAACAGG